Molecule: ribosomal RNA, 833 nt
Filed under: gut metagenome
Description: bacterial SSU rRNA
Rfam family: Bacterial small subunit ribosomal RNA
Source: RNAcentral
GUGUAGCGGUGAAAUGCUUAGAUAUCACGAAGAACUCCGAUUGCGAAGGCAGCUUGCUGGACUGUAACUGACGCUGAUGCUCGAAAGUGUGGGUAUCAAACAGGAUUAGAUACCCUGGUAGUCCACACAGUAAACGAUGAAUACUCGCUGUUUGCGAUAUACAGUAAGCGGCCAAGCGAAAGCGUUAAGUAUUCCACCUGGGGAGUACGCCGGCAACGGUGAAACUCAAAGGAAUUGACGGGGGCCCGCACAAGCGGAGGAACAUGUGGUUUAAUUCGAUGAUACGCGAGGAACCUUACCCGGGCUUGAAUUGCAACUGAAUGAUGUGGAGACAUGUCAGCCGCAAGGCAGUUGUGAAGGUGCUGCAUGGUUGUCGUCAGCUCGUGCCGUGAGGUGUCGGCUUAAGUGCCAUAACGAGCGCAACCCUUAUCGAUAGUUACCAUCAGGUUAUGCUGGGGACUCUGUCGAGACUGCCGUCGUAAGAUGUGAGGAAGGUGGGGAUGACGUCAAAUCAGCACGGCCCUUACGUCCGGGGCUACACACGUGUUACAAUGGGGGGUACAGAAGGCAGCUACACGGCGACGUGAUGCUAAUCCCGAAAGCCUCUCUCAGUUCGGAUUGGAGUCUGCAACCCGACUCCAUGAAGCUGGAUUCGCUAGUAAUCGCGCAUCAGCCACGGCGCGGUGAAUACGUUCCCGGGCCUUGUACACACCGCCCGUCAAGCCAUGAAAGCCGGGGGUACCUGAAGUGCGUAACCGCAAGGAGCGCCCUAGGGUAAAACUGGUGAUUGGGGCUAAGUCGUAACAAGGUAGCCGUACCGGAAGGUGCGGCUG